This 70-nucleotide transfer RNA is filed under the name Heterocephalus glaber (naked mole-rat). It matches the Rfam family "tRNA". Rfam says of the family: Transfer RNA (tRNA) molecules are approximately 80 nucleotides in length. Their secondary structure includes four short double-helical elements and three loops (D, anti-codon, and T loops). Lineage: Eukaryota; Metazoa; Chordata; Mammalia; Rodentia; Bathyergidae. The record is from Rfam by way of RNAcentral.
GGGGGUGUAGUUCAAUGGUAGAGUGUGUACUUAGCAUGUACAAGGACCUAGGUUCAAUCCCUACCACCCA